This 427-nucleotide ribosomal RNA is filed under the name uncultured bacterium. RNAcentral's name for it is "bacterial SSU rRNA". It matches the Rfam family "Bacterial small subunit ribosomal RNA", at positions 355 to 774 of the family's 1533-position model. The record is from RNAcentral.
UGGGGAAUUUUGGACAAUGGACGCAAGUCUGAUCCAGCCAUGCCGCGUGCGGGAAGAAGGCCUUCGGGUUGUAAACCGCUUUUGUCAGGGAAGAAACGAGUUUCUCUAAUACAGAGACUUAAUGACGGUACCUGAAGAAUAAGCACCGGCUAACUACGUGCCAGCAGCCGCGGUAAUACGUAGGGUGCGAGCGUUAAUCGGAAUUACUGGGCGUAAAGCGUGCGCAGGCGGUUAUAUAAGACAGAUGUGAAAUCCCCGGGCUCAACCUGGGAACUGCCUUUGUGACUGCAUAGCUAGAGUACGGUAGAGGGGGAUGGAAUUCCGCGUGUAGCAGUGAAAUGCGUAGAUAUGCGGAGGAACACCGAUGGCGAAGGCAAUCCCCUGGGCCUGUACUGACGCUCAUGCACGAAAGCGUGGGGAGCAAACA